RNAcentral lists this transfer RNA (82 nucleotides) under Amphibalanus amphitrite. RNAcentral's name for it is "tRNA-Leu". It matches the Rfam family "tRNA". Rfam says of the family: Transfer RNA (tRNA) molecules are approximately 80 nucleotides in length. Their secondary structure includes four short double-helical elements and three loops (D, anti-codon, and T loops). The record is from Rfam by way of RNAcentral. Lineage: Eukaryota; Metazoa; Arthropoda; Thecostraca; Balanomorpha; Balanidae.
GAGGUCGUGGCCGAGUGGUUAAGGCGUCCGACUUAAAAUCGGAUUCCCUAUGGGAGCGUGGGUUCGAACCCCACCGACUUCG